ACACAUGUUGCUAUUCAGCCACCAAGACAUAAUGAAGAAAUUUAUAGAAACAGGAAACUGUUUCAUUCUCUGAAUGUAAUGGUUGUUUGUGGGCCAUCCCUCCAGAUCCUUUCCCUGAAUGCAAAGUUUACUGGAAGUUCCCAUGAUGCAUAUGUCAUUAGACAAUCAGGGAUAUGGCAGAGAUUAAGAUCAAGUCAACGAGCAGACAUGUGGUUAUUGGGAGACCGUGGAUAUCCUUGCACCCCCUGGCUCAUGACUCCUUACCGUAAUCCCAGGCCAGGACCACAGAUGGCAUUUAACUCCGCGCUUACUGCCACUAGGCAGCUGGUGGAGCGCACAAUUGGUGUCCUUAAAGGGCGGUUUCGUGUGCUCCACCGCACUGGUGGCGACAUCAUGUAUUCGCCGGAGAUGGCAAGUAAAAUAGUGGUCCUGUGCGCAAUACUACAUAAUAUCGCGGUAAGGAGUAGUGUAGAGCUUCCUCAGGCAGAGGAAUUGCCUGAUGAGGAGCCAGGGGUUGGUCCACGCUUCGGUGGGGGGAGUGUGACACGGAGGGGGAGCCAAGUGAGGGCAAGAAUUGUUGCAGAAUAUUUCAGCUGAAUGAUCACACGAACUGUGGACAACAACAACGGCAAAACUCACCACCCCCUUCCCCUUCCCACUCCCCCUCACCUUCACACUCCCCCUCCCCUUCUCACUCCCCCUCCCCUUCUCACUCCCCCUCCCCUUCACAGUCCCCCUCAGCUUCCCAGUCCACCUCAUCUUCCCAGUCCACCUCAGCUUCCCAGGCCCCAUCAGCUUCCCUGGCCCACUCCACUUUCCAUUCCCCUUCUCACCACACCUCUCCAUCUCUUUCUGGGACCCCUUCUCCUCCUUCCCAUACCCCUUCUCCUUCUAAUUCUACAUCCCAAUCUGAACCCCCCACACCCUCUAUUGCCUUAACUUUCUCUCCGCCCCCCUCGCCCUCUCAAUCAGACCCCCCCUCUGAAAUUGGCAACCAAAUCCAGCCUCCUUCCCCCAUCCAGCCUCCUGCCCCAAUCCCUCCUCCUUCCCCAAUCCCUCCUCCUUCCCCAAUCCCUCCUCCUUCCCCAAUCCCUCCUCCUUCCCCCAUCCAGCCACCUUCCCCCAUCCAGCCAACAUCCCCACCCAGUGAAUGGGCAGAGGAAGCCCCUGCAGACCGGUCCGGGAGUCUUGAGGUUGCCGUGGAAAGUAAGUUUUGUUUUAUAAUGAAAAAAAUGAUU
This is a long non-coding RNA of Pseudophryne corroboree (corroboree frog), 1238 nucleotides long. RefSeq lists it as uncharacterized. The transcript has 4 exons. Lineage: Eukaryota; Metazoa; Chordata; Amphibia; Anura; Myobatrachidae. The record is from RefSeq and is a predicted model, not a curated record.